Molecule: non-coding RNA, 86 nt
Organism: Lentinula detonsa
Lineage: Eukaryota; Fungi; Basidiomycota; Agaricomycetes; Agaricales; Omphalotaceae
Source: the annotation of a GenBank genome assembly
ACACCGUUGGUGAAGUGGUUAUCAUGCUUGCCUUCCAUUGUUCAAUAAUGAAGCAAGCGGCUCGGGUUCGAUUCCCGAACGGUGUA